CCUACGGGAGGCAGCAGUGAGGAAUAUUGGUCAAUGGCCGUAAGGCUGAACCAGCCAAGUCGCGUGAAGGAAGACGGAUCUAUGGUUUGUAAACUUCUUUUAUAGAGGAAUAAAGGUAUCCACGUGUGGAUAUUUGCAUGUACUUUAUGAAUAAGCAUCGGCUAACUCCGUGCCAGCAGCCGCGGUAAUACGGAGGAUGCGAGCGUUAUCCGGAUUUAUUGGGUUUAAAGGGUGCGUAGAUUGUUUUUUAAGUCAGCGGUGAAAGUUUGUGGCUCAACCAUAAAAUUGCAGUUGAUACUGGAAGACUUGAGUAUGUUUGAGGUAGGCGGAAUGCGUGGUGUAGCGGUGAAAUGCUUAGAUAUCACGAAGAACUCCGAUUGCGAAGGCAGCUUACCAGCGCCCGACUGACGCUGAGGCACGAAAGCGUGGGGAUCGAACAGGAUUAGAUACCCCUGUAGUC
This 460-nucleotide ribosomal RNA is filed under the name uncultured bacterium. RNAcentral's name for it is "partial 16S ribosomal RNA". It matches the Rfam family "Bacterial small subunit ribosomal RNA", at positions 338 to 795 of the family's 1533-position model. The record is from RNAcentral.